RNAcentral lists this ribosomal RNA (368 nucleotides) under uncultured organism. Its description in RNAcentral is "bacterial SSU rRNA". It matches the Rfam family "Bacterial small subunit ribosomal RNA", at positions 526 to 896 of the family's 1533-position model. The record is from RNAcentral.
CGUAGGUGGCAAGCGUUGUCCGGAUUUAUUGGGUUUAAAGGGUGCGUAGGCGGCCUUAUAAGUCAGUGCUGAAAUAUCCCGGCUUAACCGGGAGGGUGGCAUUGAUACUGUAGGGCUUGAGUGUAGUCGAGGUAGGCGGAAUUGACGGUGUAGCGGUGAAAUGCUUAGAUAUCGUCAAGAACACCGAUAGUGUAGACAGCUUACUAGGCUACAACUGACGCUGAGGCACGAAAGUGUGGGGAUCAAACAGGAUUAGAUACCCUGGUAGUCCACACUGUAGACGUUGAUUACUCGCUGUUGGCGAUACACAGUCAGCGGCUUAGCGCAAGCGAUAAGUAAUCCACCUGGGGAGUACGCCGGCAACGGUG